This 481-nucleotide ribosomal RNA is filed under the name uncultured bacterium. RNAcentral's name for it is "partial 16S ribosomal RNA". It matches the Rfam family "Bacterial small subunit ribosomal RNA", at positions 28 to 507 of the family's 1533-position model. The record is from RNAcentral.
GAUGAACGCUGGCGGCGUGCUUAACACAUGCAAGUCGAACGAAGCACUUUAUUUGAUUUCCUUCGGGACUGAUUAUUUUGUGACUGAGUGGCGGACGGGUGAGUAACGCGUGGGUAACCUGCCUUGUACAGGGGGAUAACAGUUGGAAACGGCUGCUAAUACCGCAUAAGCGCACGGCAUUGCAUGAUGCAGUGUGAAAAACUCCGGUGGUAUAAGAUGGACCCGCGUUGGAUUAGCAAGUUGGUGAGGUAACGGCCCACCAAGGCGACGAUCCAUAGCCGACCUGAGAGGGUGACCGGCCACAUUGGGACUGAGACACGGCCCAAACUCCUACGGGAGGCAGCAGUGGGGAAUAUUGCACAAUGGGCGAAAGCCUGAUGCAGCGACGCCGCGUGAGCGAAGAAGUAUUUCGGUAUGUAAAGCUCUAUCAGCAGGGAAGAUAAUGACGGUACCUGACGAAGAAGCACCGGCUAAAUACGUG